UACGGAGGGUGCAAGCGUUAUCCGGAUUCACUGGGUUUAAAGGGUGCGUAGGUGGGCAGGUAAGUCAGUGGUGAAAUCCCCAAGCUUAACUUGGGAACUGCCAUUGAUACUAUUUGUCUUGAAUACCGUGGAGGUGAGCGGAAUAUGUCAUGUAGCGGUGAAAUGCUUAGAUAUGACAUAGAACACCCAUUGCGAAGGCAGCUCGCUACACUAUUAUUGACGCUGAGGCACGAAAGCGUGGGGAUCAAACAGG
RNAcentral lists this ribosomal RNA (253 nucleotides) under uncultured bacterium. Its description in RNAcentral is "partial 16S ribosomal RNA". It matches the Rfam family "Bacterial small subunit ribosomal RNA", at positions 524 to 776 of the family's 1533-position model. The record is from RNAcentral.